GACGAACGCUGGCGGCGUGCCUAAUACAUGCAAGUCGAGCGCAGAAGCGUGGUGCUUGUUCCGCCGGGGUUAGCGGCGAACGGGUGAGUAACACGUGGGUAAUCUGCCUUUGAGCGGGGGACAACAUCGGGAAACGAAUGCUAAUACCGCAUAAUAUCUUUAAACACAUGGUUCAAGAGUGAAAGACGCUAUUGCUUUACCCAAAGAUGAGCCCGCGGUGGAUUAGCUAGUUGGUGAGGGAAAGGCCCACCAAGGCGAUGAUACAUAGCCGAACUGGGAGGGGGAUCGGCCAACUCUGGAAUGAGACACGGCCCAAACUUCUACGGGAGGGCGCCGUAGGGGAUCUUCGGGCAAGGACGAAAGUCUGACCGGGCCACGGCGGGUGGGGGAAGAAGGGUCUCGGAACGUAAAAAUCUGUUGAUAGAGAAGAAAGUUGGUGGGAGUGGAAAACUCAUGAAGUGACGGUACCUACCCAGAAAGGGACGGCUAACUACGUG
RNAcentral lists this ribosomal RNA (497 nucleotides) under uncultured bacterium. RNAcentral's name for it is "partial 16S ribosomal RNA". It matches the Rfam family "Bacterial small subunit ribosomal RNA", at positions 28 to 507 of the family's 1533-position model. The record is from RNAcentral.